Molecule: long non-coding RNA, 805 nt
Filed under: Homo sapiens (human)
Lineage: Eukaryota; Metazoa; Chordata; Mammalia; Primates; Hominidae
Description: cancer susceptibility 15
Source: RNAcentral
GCAAUGGAGAACAUUUACAGAGGACUGUGGGUAAAGCAAAGUCUUCAAGGGAAGAUAACAAAGGAUGAAACAAUGGUGUUGUGUGACUUCCUAGUAAAAUCUACUGGUGGAGUCACUCCAUUAUUCUUAUCUGUGGAGAUCUAGAUCUUGAUUUGAAAGUUUCUGAGAAAAUCUUCAGCUCAGACUUGAGGGUCAACUUUACCAGCUGAAGGAUCUGCAUUUACUGCUCAACCACAUCUAAUUUGAUGUCCUCUGCAGAUUUAAAAUGUGUGCCUUCUUUUCCGUCACCAAGUCAUCCCUGGGUUACUACUGAACAUCCUUCUCAAUUCCCCCCGACCCAUGGAUGGCUGUUCUCCAUUGUCUGUUUCACCAGAUGUCCUCAAAACAAACAGACAGAAGAAGGAAGUGGCUAAUGGAGCUGUGGAGUCCAAGUGUGACUGCCAAGAGGAAUCCAGCAAAGCCAAAAAGCCCAAGCAUGUAGCCCUGCCCGAAGCACGCCACACGCAUGGAAAACCCAGAGGAAAUGAGUGAGGAUCAAUGGGAAGAAGAGAGCCAGCCAGGAAGUUGAAGAUUUGUCCAGGAGCAGAUAGCUGAAGAGAGAGAGAGAGAAGAGAGAACGGCUUACAGCUCAGGUCCUCUCUCCAUGCUUAGGAACCACUACAAAUGCUACUGCCUUGAGUCUCAUUUUGUUUCCCUCUGGAAACCACAUGUGUACCUUGUUUGCAACAGUAUGGGUAUGGAUGUUUUGGUAGUUCUUACACAUUUAUUUUAAAAUUUAAAGAAGUAGUGCCAUAAAGCUUUAUCA